ACUAAUUUUAUACUAUAUAAAUGAUGAUUUUUAAAGAUUUUAAUCCACGUGUCGACGAUGUGUCGUAUCAGUACUUUUUUGAAAAAUCACAUGUCGACGUAUUCGACACGUAUCGUGUUGGACACACGUGUCCGUGUCUGUGCAUUAUAGGUUUAGCUCAAAUGGAGUGUCUAAGCUGGUUCAAGAGGAUGAUCAACCACACUAGGACUGAGACUCAAACAUGGCCUAGACUCCUACGGGAGGCAGCAAAGAGGAAUUUCCCGCAAUGGGUGUGGAGGUAGAAGGCCCACGGGUCAUGAAUUUAUUUUCUGGAGAAGAGGCAAUGACGGUAUUUGAGGAAUAAGCAUCGGCUAACUCCACAAAUAUAAAGUUGGAAUAUCCA
Molecule: ribosomal RNA, 382 nt
Filed under: Olea europaea subsp. europaea
Lineage: Eukaryota; Viridiplantae; Streptophyta; Magnoliopsida; Lamiales; Oleaceae
Description: SSU_rRNA_bacteria
Rfam family: Bacterial small subunit ribosomal RNA
Source: RNAcentral